RNAcentral lists this transfer RNA (57 nucleotides) under Bos taurus (domestic cattle). It matches the Rfam family "tRNA", at positions 8 to 63 of the family's 71-position model. Rfam says of the family: Transfer RNA (tRNA) molecules are approximately 80 nucleotides in length. RNAcentral also lists the same sequence under 2 other names. Lineage: Eukaryota; Metazoa; Chordata; Mammalia; Artiodactyla; Bovidae. The record is from Rfam by way of RNAcentral.
UGGCUCAGAGAGUAAAGCGUCUGCCUGCAAUGCAGGAGACCCAGGUUCGAUCCCUGG